This 1242-nucleotide long non-coding RNA is filed under the name Gallus gallus (chicken). RNAcentral's name for it is "lncRNA (ENSGALG00010013630.1)". Lineage: Eukaryota; Metazoa; Chordata; Aves; Galliformes; Phasianidae. The record is from RNAcentral.
GUCAUUUUGAUGUUUUACAAGCUACAUGCCAGCUUAAGAAUUCUCAAAAGAAUUCUUCUUGUUCUCAGUGGUUUUGUAUUGGUUUGUUGGGUAUGCAUAAAUUAUCAAUCCAUGGUAAAAGCUGGAUUUUAUAGGCCAUUGUUGUACAUUUUAUUCUCUAUAUCUGCUUAAAUGAAGAUUAAGUAUCUAAGAAAAUAUUGAUCAUAUUUUUCAUGAUCUUCUUGAAAGUUGGCAGAAAAUCUAAUACUCUGGGUCUGAGGUGAAAACUGCAGAAAAUGUGUGUGCUUGAACUUAUUAAUUAUUAACUACCAUAGAUACUUCUAAAGCAAACAACAUAGUGAAAAGCAAGCUAUGGAUAAGUUGAAGAUAAAUAAUAAAAAUGUGGCACAAAAACUAUACUUUCUGACUUCUAACAGAAAAGAUCCAGAAAAAAAAAGGUUGGAUGUCAGGGGGCAGUUCUUUACCAAGAGAGUGGUGAGGUGCUAGAACAGGCUUCCCAGAGAGGUUGUGGAUGCCCCAUCCUUGGGGGUGCUAAAGGCCAGUUUGGAUGGGGCCGUGGGCAGCCUGGUCUAAUAUUAAAUGUAGAGGCUGGUGGCCCUGUCUGUGGCACGGGGUUGGAGCUUGAUGGUCCUUGAGAUCCCUUCCAACCCAUGCCAUUCUAUGAUUCUAUAAUUUUAUGAUUCUAUGAUUCUAUAAUUCUGCGAUUCUAUGUAUAUCCCAGUUCAGUACUAAUUUUUGCAUGACUUAUGGUCACAAAGUUGUCUUUGAAAUAUAUGAUUAAAUGACUUCUAAUUCUGUGACUGCAUUCAUUUUCUAAGUACAAUAUAGUUAACUGUUAAUAAAAUUUCUUCUCAUUUGUUUGAAGUUUAGAGUGUAAAAAUUUUCUGAAUUGUUGCACAUAUAACUUCUAUAGCAUAUUGAUAAAUUAUUGUAUCAUGUUGAUCUUUUGUCAUGGUUUUAUGACAUCUUUAAAUACAUUACACUGUAAAAAUAACUGUAUUUCUUCUGUGUGCAAAAAGAAUGCCAGAAACAUCUUUUUAGAAAGCCUUUUUUUUUUUUUUUUUUAAUAUUUAUCUCUUGUUUACGGUAGUGGUCACAUAUUCAGAAUCUGGAGUCUGCAGUUAAGUCUCAUAAUCUGCAUACUGCUGCAGCUCCAGAGUUCAGCAACCCAGCUCAGCCCAUGGCUUGAGAAGUUUCUCUUUACAUUGUGUUCUUGUCCAUGUUGGAUUUUAAAUGUCGGUG